AACCCGAGAGACUCUUCAUCAUCAGCCUUGUUGAACAAAGCAGACCAAAAAAAAAGAAGUGUCAUCUGUAAAAUCAAAAUUCUCCGAUUCAUUCAUUGAUCAGAUCAGCCAUGGAACUAGACGACGAGGUGUACAACUGCGAAAGGUUUGCCAAGUAUUACCGCGCUCUCUGUCCUGGAGAAUGUGUUGGUCUCCAUUAGUCUUUUGCGUGAUACACAUAUCAACACUCCUCUACUUUGUGAUUCGUCCAACAAUGUUUGUCGCGUAUCUUAACGCAGGUUGAGAAGUGGAACGAGCAGAGGGAGAGUGGGAAUUUUCCAGGUCCUCUUUGAACCAGGCUGGUUCAUCCAUGAAUCUUGAUGAUGAGGCAAUCAAAUUCCACAAUGAUGGUACAUGUGUGUUUGAAGACCACUAAUACUUAUUUUUUGUAAAGCUGAAAUAAUAAUAAUGAAAUGAUAAGUAUACGUUUAAUUUUGGAUUUAUUUUGAGACAAAGUCAUCAUCAAUGUUCAUUAAAUAAACUUAAUUAGCAAAUAAAUGGAAUGCUUCCAAUUUUGUUUCA
Non-coding RNA from Camelina sativa (false flax), 561 nucleotides. NCBI's taxonomy places the organism in Eukaryota, Viridiplantae, Streptophyta, Magnoliopsida, Brassicales, Brassicaceae. The record is from RefSeq and is a predicted model, not a curated record.